This 485-nucleotide ribosomal RNA is filed under the name uncultured bacterium. Its description in RNAcentral is "partial 16S ribosomal RNA". It matches the Rfam family "Bacterial small subunit ribosomal RNA", at positions 29 to 523 of the family's 1533-position model. The record is from RNAcentral.
AGUGAACGCUGGCGGCGUGCUUAACACAUGCAAGUCGAACGAGAACGGGUUAUAGCUUGCUAUAAUUGUCAGCUAAGUGGCGCACGGGUGAGUAAUGUAUAGGUAAUAUGCCUCUUACUAAGGGACAACAGUUGGAAACGACUGCUAAUACCCUAUACUCCUUUUUAACUCAAGUUAAAUCGGGAAAGUUUUUUCGCUAAAGGAUGGGGCUGUAUCGUAUCAGCUAGUUGGUGGGGUAACGGCCUACCAAGGCUAUGACACGUAGCUGGUCUGAGAGGAUGAUCAGCCACACUGGAACUGAGACACGGUCCAGACUCCUACGGGAGGCAGCAGUGAGGAAUAUUGCACAAUGGGGGAAACCCUGAUGCAGCAACGCCGCGUGGAGGAUGACACAUUUCGGUGCGUAAACUCCUUUCAAGAGGGAAGAAAUUUGACGGUACCUCUUGAAUAAGCACCGGCUAACUCCGUGCCAGCAGCCGCAGUAA